RNAcentral lists this non-coding RNA (303 nucleotides) under Hymenoscyphus fraxineus. RNAcentral's name for it is "partial 18S ribosomal RNA". The stretch from base 3 to 263 matches the Rfam family "Group I catalytic intron". From Rfam's summary of the family: Group I catalytic introns are large self-splicing ribozymes. They catalyse their own excision from mRNA, tRNA and rRNA precursors in a wide range of organisms. Lineage: Eukaryota; Fungi; Ascomycota; Leotiomycetes; Helotiales; Helotiaceae. The record is from RNAcentral.
CCCCCCGGGGGUCCCCGACUAUAACUGGGACAGCAAGUCGCCUCGGCGGCAACAUGAUCGAAUUGCGGGGACGUCCUAAAGCUCUCACCACUCCCCUCCAUCAGAAACGAUGGGGGCUCGUCACAGCGUGAGAGAUGUACAAUGGGCGAUCCGCAGCGAAGCCCCGUCAGCCUACCCUGUAGGCCCGGGGACCGUUCACAGACUAGGUGGUCAUGGGCACCGCGGUGCUUAAGAUAUAGUCGGCCAGCUGGGGAAACCUGACUGCUAGCGCGUUCCGUAGGUGAACCUGCGGAAGGAUCAUUA